RNAcentral lists this ribosomal RNA (498 nucleotides) under uncultured bacterium. Its description in RNAcentral is "partial 16S ribosomal RNA". It matches the Rfam family "Bacterial small subunit ribosomal RNA", at positions 30 to 523 of the family's 1533-position model. The record is from RNAcentral.
AUUGAACGCUGGCGGCAUGCCUUACACAUGCAAGUCGAACGGUAACAGGUCUUCGGAUGCUGACGAGUGGCGAACGGGUGAGUAAUACAUCGGAACGUGCCUAGUAGUGGGGGAUAACUACUCGAAAGAGUGGCUAAUACCGCAUGAGAUCUACGGAUGAAAGCAGGGGAUCGCAAGACCUUGUGCUACUAGAGCGGCCGAUGGCAGAUUAGGUAGUUGGUGGGAUAAGAGCUUACCAAGCCGACGAUCUGUAGCUGGUCUGAGAGGACGAUCAGCCACACUGGGACUGAGACACGGCCCAGACUCCUACGGGAGGCAGCAGUGGGGAAUUUUGGACAAUGGGCGAGAGCCUGAUCCAGCAAUGCCGCGUGCAGGAUGAAGGCCUUCGGGUUGUAAACUGCUUUUGUACGGAACGAAAAGCCCCGGGUUAAUACCCUGGGGUCAUGACGGUACCGUAAGAAUAAGCACCGGCUAAUUACGUGCCAGCCGCCGCCGUAA